CUUAUAAUUACUCGCCAUCGUUGCUCAUGACCAGCUGCAAGUCGCGUGCGAAUAUAUAAGCGUAUUAUGCAUGGGCCAUGCACGCUUGAGUCGUCUAGGCCACCCCGACGGCGGGGCUUUGGCGGCUCACGAGGACGUCGACCACGUCCCUGUUCGGCGCCGCCCUCGUCGCCGCCGCCACUUCAGCAGCGCAGGUCCUGGUGGGAAGCCCCAUCUCGCGCACCGGGUGCACGCCGGAGCUCCGCUCGGGGAGGGCCGGGCUGAGCUUGGCGAUGUUGACGAGGACGUGCUCGUCGGCGGCUGUCGGUAGCUUGCCCGCUUCCUUGCCGUCGGCGACCACCGGUGUCUUGUUCAUGUAGAACACGUACAGGACCAUCUGCACCACGCCGAAGGUGAAUCCAAGGAUGUUCGGAAGCUGCAGAGAUCACAUAAUUUUUUAUCGAUCAGUAUCAGUAAGACGCAUCGUACGUUAACUCACCAAAUUAAGCGACUAAAAAAGGUAUGUGAUGUGAGAAGCAAUUAGUUACCGCGACGUAUUUGUCCUUGAUGAGGAGGCCGUAGAGGAACCAGACGACGGCGCUGAGGGUGAGCGUGAGGGAGAGGGAGAAGGGCAUGUACUCCACGCUCCUCGUCUGGAUCACGCGCUUCUGCACGAACACAAACGCAUGCGAUCGAUGGCCAUUAGCACGAGCUCACCAUGGCACAACAGGAUACCAAGUAAAGGAUCGACGAUCGGAGUGCUCAGUACUCACGAUAAUGCUGAGCGGCGCGACGAAGACGCCGACGGAGAAGGCGACGCAGAUCCAUCCGAGGGUGACGAUGCGCUUGUCACCAUGGAAGACGAGGAGGGUGAAGAGGAGGAUGGCCCCGAAGAAGCCGACGUUGAGGCCAAGCAUGAUCUUGGCAGUGAACCACCUGGCUUUCUUGUCCGCGUAGACGAAGUACAAGAUGACGUAGAUGCUCUCGAUGACGAAGCCGGCGACGUUGAUGGUGAUGAGCAGGACCUCGUUGGAUUUGAUCAGCGCGUAGAAGAUCCACAGCAUCGCGCUGAACAGAGCCACCACGUAGGGAACCGACUGGAAACCCUCCGUCGACUUGCUCUUGUAGAUGCGGUAGAACGUCGGGCUGCACAUACAAAUACAAAGAAUGCAAAUAUGGUUAAUUUCAAAACAUCAAUUUCAAACGCGUAGCAAUGUUAAGCUAAUAUAUAUAUAUAUACACACGAAAUUAGAAUUUAAUGAGGUACUUACAUUGGGGCCAGGAAGGUCAUGAAGGAGAUGACGUUGCCUGCAGCACAAAAGGGCGCCAAGGAUCAGAUGUUUGCAAAAGUUGGCAAAGACCCCAAAGCUGGGGAUAAGAUGUGAUGAGGUGACACGUUACAUCUGCGGUCUAAUUUUCCUUCUUUUGCGAGCAAAGGUUGCCGAGGCUUUAUUUUAUUUUAGUUUAGUUUUGAUAAACGAGCUCUUUUGUGUUGCGGUGCACUAUGACGUCAUCUGUGCUACACAGUAGCAGCAGUGGCCUGACUACGUACGUCACCCAAGCGGCAAGAUAGAUGCUGCAAAAGGAUCGAUUGCUAGCUCGACAGGUAGUCCAUGAUAAGAAAUGUAUAGGCUAACAAAAGCAUCGAUCAAUCAUGACAAAGAUGAUAAAAAUCUAUUGAUCUAUGCUUAAUGUGUGGUGCCACUGGCACUUGUGACUAUAAUCACUUUAUGACCACAUGAAGCUUCUCAUUUUUGGAAAAUAUUUGGAAGCUGCGCAAGCUCGACUACGUAUAAUUGGUUCAGUGAUCACUGGAUCGGAGUGCAACUCCCACUAGUAAUAAGUAGCCUGCAUGUGCUGCUCUAGCAACUAGGCAUAGCAAUUUGUAAAGUGCAACCGAGUAGAACAGAAUUGAAAGGAUGAGUGAUUCGUGGGCUUGCAACUCUUGUUUUGUGAAAGGGGUAUUAUUUACCUAGGAGGCCGAAGGUGAAUGCCCAGGGAUGCUGAAGGGAAAAGCCAGCCAUUGUGAUACAAGAGGAUCUAAAAAUAGUAUGUCUGCAAGAGCUCCAACACAAGCUACACAGCUAAUUGAACAGUUGCUGGAAUUAAGGUGAUGAGCUUGGCUUUGGAACUACUUCUCUUCCUCUCUAACCCUUUGGCCCCUGCAGGAGGGAAGGGAGAGUUCUGAGGAGGAGUUCUCUGUGUUGGC
This 2188-nucleotide long non-coding RNA is filed under the name Setaria viridis. Its description in RNAcentral is "long non-coding RNA (SVIR_LNC003514)". Lineage: Eukaryota; Viridiplantae; Streptophyta; Magnoliopsida; Poales; Poaceae. The record is from RNAcentral.